This 301-nucleotide ribosomal RNA is filed under the name uncultured bacterium. Its description in RNAcentral is "partial 16S ribosomal RNA". It matches the Rfam family "Bacterial small subunit ribosomal RNA", at positions 509 to 808 of the family's 1533-position model. The record is from RNAcentral.
CAGUACCACGGUAAUACGUAGGUGGCAAGCGUUGUCCGGAAUUAUUGGGCGUAAAGGGCUCGCAGGCUGUUUCUUAAGUCUGAUGUGAAAGCCCCCGGCUCAACCGGGGAGGGUCAUUGGAAACUGGGAAACUUGAGUGCAGAAGAGGAGAGUGGAAUUCCACGUGUAGCGGUGAAAUGCGUAGAGAUGUGGAGGAACACCAGUGGCGAAGGCGACUCUCUGGUCUGUAACUGACGCUGAGGAGCGAAAGCGUGGGGAGCGAACAGGAUUAGAUACCCCCGUAGUCCCUGUCUCUUAUACC